UCACUGGGCUAGGCAUUUUUGUUUGACCAAACAUCCUGGGAAAUAUACUUAUUACAUAACCUCAUCAUUUUCAUCUUCUCAUAUCAUCAUCUUUAUCUUUAUCUUCUCCCAUAUCUUCGUCUUCAUCUUAGCAUAUUCCUUUUGAUUAUGAUUCAUUUUCGACAUCUCAUGGGUACAUUUAUUUGCUUACCUUUAUAGCCAUAACAAUUUUUUUUAUUAUAUAGAUCUUUAGAAAUGAAUUUAAG
This 245-nucleotide long non-coding RNA is filed under the name Lathyrus oleraceus (garden pea). RNAcentral describes it as "Pisum sativum (pea) long non-coding RNA (PSAT_LNC037465)". Lineage: Eukaryota; Viridiplantae; Streptophyta; Magnoliopsida; Fabales; Fabaceae. The record is from RNAcentral.